UUGUAUUAUUGACAAAGAAUUGUAGACAAAUGUUAUUUUAUAUUUUUUAAGAGUAAAACACAUGUACACUAAUAUUGCCUUGUUACUAAUUAUGAGAUUUUCAGGCUUGUGGAGAACAGCUUUUUUUAUCUACUCUUUGGCUGGCCAAUGUAAAUAAGCAAUUAUUUCAUGAAUGCAGCGAGAGAGUUUAUUUGAUGUAUUUUAAAAUCACUGAUAAUAUUUAUUGGUGUAUUUUAAAAUCACUGAUAAUAUUUAUUGGUGUAUUUUAAAAUCGCUGAUAAUAUUUGUUUUGUGGUUGAAAGAUGGUAACCAUGGUGACUUGUGAAUUUUUAUGAAGGAUUAAUAAAAAGCAGUAAAAAUUAUUAAUGGUUGUCACAAGGAAUUUUUUUUUCAAUAAUCAAUCAAUCAUCUACACUCUACAGUAACAAUUUUCCUUAACUCAAAUAAUAUUUCAAUACAUAUCUUAUAAAGUAUUCAUAUAUGUACAAUAUAGACCAAUUUUGAGCUAUUCUGAUAUCAGUAUAUUAGUUAUUAUGAACAUAUACUAUCAGAACUACCAUUUGCAUAUAGUGCAUAUACAUAACACUAGCCAACAACCAUUAAAAAAACACUACUAUAUACACUUACAUUAAAAAAAACAAAUCAUAGACAAGUACAGAUUAUUCACUAUUAUAUUCUAGAGCCAAUUCCAAUAAGUGUGAGGGCGUACCGGUGUUACGAUUUGAAUUAUUGGUGGAAAUAGUGGGCGCCACCACGUGAGUGGGCACGUGGACCCGGCUUGAUACUCUUGCUCAGGGCGUUACGUGGCCCGUGUGCGGCGAGAUAUUAGCCCUCCUGAUACCUAAUUCAGCACCUGUCCCUACCCGAGCCCGCUUAUACUUAACCGCAGUGGGCUCUUAGGGCGUCCCACACGCCGCUGACUGGUUAAGGACCCACGUGGCCCCCUCCGAACACAAAGACACGUGAUUCAAUUAAGUUGGUUUUAUUUACUUACACGUUACACGCCCUCAUACAAUCCUUCCGUGAUACUGUUAAAAAAACGCCCGAGGCACGAAUCGGUUUAGUUGAGGAGGCGGACCACACACGUGGUUGCCUCAAGCCUUUACUUAGAACACAGGUGGUUAAAAACUCCGGAGAGUAUAUAAAUCACUAAUUAAACAGCCCCACCGACCGAGAGAGACCCUGAGGGUGAAGAGAAAACGAUUUGAAUUAAUCAACUGAACAGAACUACUUAUCGGUGAGACAACGGUGAUAUCCUCGGGGUGUCUGCAGAGACGUCCGCUCUCGGCCGGCUGUAGAAGGAGACGGGUGAGACAAGGGCUUGCGGCAGGAAACAUGGCGCUCUUUAUAAAAUUACCAGAUACACAUCCAUGACCAGACCGUCUGUAAUAAUUACUUAUGUGAUAAAAUAUAGUUUGAAUAAAGUUAUGUGUUGGUUCCGUCGUCACCCGCUAGGGAGCGUUCGUGGCCGUGCUUGCACAUACUUUAUUACAAAAUAUAACAUAUUAAUAAAACAAAAGGCACUUACUUACUGAAUCGUCAUGACACUAUUUUAGGGGCGAAAAGAAAAGAUUACAAUAAUAUUAAUUAUAAAUAGGUGUGCGGCGCACUGCAGCUAAGCGCCCUCUUGCCGGGCUACCAACACACGCACGCACUCGCUAGCGGGAGGUUUGAAUAUGAACAGAGGAUGGAGGUGUUUGGGCGGUGGCAUAUCGGAUUCGAAAGGGGGCCGCAGGCCCGGACGACGUCAAGUGUAUUAUCAACAAAAGAAAAUAAUUUUUUU
Molecule: long non-coding RNA, 1783 nt
Organism: Bacillus rossius redtenbacheri
Lineage: Eukaryota; Metazoa; Arthropoda; Insecta; Phasmatodea; Bacillidae
Exons: 2
Source: RefSeq, a predicted model, not a curated record